AAAACUUUCAACAACGGAUCUCUUGGUUCUCGCAUCGAUGAAGAGCGCAGCGAAAUGCGAUACCUAGUGUGAAUUGCAGCCAUCGUGAAUCAUCGAGUUCUUGAACGCACAUUGCGCCCCUCGGCAUUCCGGGGGGCAUGCCUGUUUGAGCGUCGUUU
RNAcentral lists this ribosomal RNA (158 nucleotides) under Pichia kudriavzevii. Its description in RNAcentral is "5.8S ribosomal RNA". It matches the Rfam family "5.8S ribosomal RNA". From Rfam's summary of the family: 5.8S ribosomal RNA (5.8S rRNA) is a component of the large subunit of the eukaryotic ribosome. It is transcribed by RNA polymerase I as part of the 45S precursor that also contains 18S and 28S rRNA. RNAcentral also lists the same sequence under 1 other name. Lineage: Eukaryota; Fungi; Ascomycota; Pichiomycetes; Pichiales; Pichiaceae. The record is from RNAcentral.